AGAGUUUGAUCCUGGCUCAGGACAAACGCUGGCGGCGUGCGUGACACAUGCAAGUCGCGCGAGGUGGAGGCUUCGGCUUCCAUCGAGCGGCGGACGGGUGAGGAACACGUGAAUGACCAACCCUCCAGUGGGGCAUACCCGAUGGAAACGUCGGUUAAUCCCGCAUACGGUCUCGGCAACGAGAAGAAAGCAGCAAUGCG
RNAcentral lists this ribosomal RNA (200 nucleotides) under uncultured bacterium. RNAcentral's name for it is "partial 16S ribosomal RNA". It matches the Rfam family "Bacterial small subunit ribosomal RNA", at positions 8 to 217 of the family's 1533-position model. The record is from RNAcentral.